GUAGGGUGCGAGCGUUGUCCGGAAUUAUUGGGCGUAAAGAGCUCGUAGGCGGUCUGUCGCGUCGGCUGUGAAAACUCGGGGCUCAACCCCGAGCCUGCAGUCGAUACGGGCAGACUAGAGUGCGGUAGGGGAGACUGGAAUUCCUGGUGUAGCGGUGAAAUGCGCAGAUAUCAGGAGGAACACCGGUGGCGAAGGCGGGUCUCUGGGCCGUAACUGACGCUGAGGAGCGAAAGCGUGGGGAGCAAACAGGAUUAGAUACCCUGGUAGUCCACGCCGUAAACGGUGGGUGCUAGGUGUAGGCGGUAUUCCACGCCGUCUGUGCCGCAGCUAACGCAUUAAGCACCCCGCCUGGGGAGUACGGCCGCAAGGCUA
RNAcentral lists this ribosomal RNA (372 nucleotides) under uncultured bacterium. Its description in RNAcentral is "bacterial SSU rRNA". It matches the Rfam family "Bacterial small subunit ribosomal RNA", at positions 527 to 896 of the family's 1533-position model. The record is from RNAcentral.